This 262-nucleotide ribosomal RNA is filed under the name uncultured bacterium. RNAcentral's name for it is "partial 16S ribosomal RNA". It matches the Rfam family "Bacterial small subunit ribosomal RNA", at positions 793 to 1055 of the family's 1533-position model. The record is from RNAcentral.
GUCCACGCCGUAAACGAUGGAUGCCAGCCGUUGGCAAGCUUGCUUGUCAGUGGCGCAGCUAACGCAUUAAGCAUCCCGCCUGGGGAGUACGGCCGCAAGGUUGAAACUCAAAGGAAUUGACGGGGGCCCGCACAAGCGGUGGAGCAUGUGGUUUAAUUCGACGCAACGCGCAGAACCUUACCAGGGUUUGACAUCCUGUGCUCACCUCAGAAAUGGGGUUUCCCCGCAAGGGGCGCAGAGACAGGUGCUGCAUGGCUGUCGU